GAUGAACGCUGGCGGCGUGCCUAAUACAUGCAAGUCGAGCGAACGGACGAGAAGCUUGCUUCUCUGAUGUUAGCGGCGGACGGGUGAGUAACACGUGGAUAACCUACCUAUAAGACUGGGAUAACUUCGGGAAACCGUAGCUAAUACCGGAUAAUAUUUUGAACCGCAUGGUUCAAAAGUGAAAGACGGUCUUGCUGUCACUUAUAGAUGGAUCCGCGCUGCAUUAGCUAGUUGGUAAGGUAACGGCUUACCAAGGCAACGAUGCAUAGCCGACCUGAGAGGGUGGUCGGCCACACUGGAACUGAGACACGGUCCAGACUCCUACGGGAGGCAGCAGUAGGGAAUCUUCCGCAAUGGGCGAAAGCCUGACGGAGCAACGCCGCGUGAGUGAUGAAGGUCUUCGGAUCGUAAAACCCUGUUAUUAGGGAAGAACAUAUGUGUAAGUAACUGUGCACAUCUUGACGGUACCUAAUCAGAAAGCCACGGCUAACUACGUG
Molecule: ribosomal RNA, 497 nt
Filed under: uncultured bacterium
Lineage: Bacteria
Description: partial 16S ribosomal RNA
Rfam family: Bacterial small subunit ribosomal RNA
Source: RNAcentral